GUACCUUGUGUAUCAGGGUUUACUGAAUUUUAUUAUUUAUUUUUAUUUCCCGAUUCUAAAAGGAGCUAUUGGCUUAUUUUAGUUGUCGUUUUAUUAACAUUAAUAAUAGGUUAAUAGUAGUGAAAUGUUAUUCGUCUUUAGGGGUUUCUGGUUUUUCAAGAAAUGAAUUUAAUUCAUGCGUCUUAUUUAGAGUUUUAUUAUUUGUUUAUUUAUUUUUAUUUGGCGUUAAGAUUGGGAGGGAUUAGCUUCUUAUUUUAUUUUUAUAAUUUUUUAUUUAUUUAGUCUUGUGGGUUUUAUAGUGAUUUUCAAUUUGAUUAUGUUAAAAUUUUAUUUGUUUUGUUCUUUAUUUUUGUUUAUUUAAUUAUUUAUUGAAAUGUAUUCUUUAUCUUUGGUUUUGGUUAGUAAUUAUUGUAGAAUUAGUAAAUUUGUUGUUAGGUUGUUUUAUUUGUGUUAAUUUUCUUUGAGGAACUAGGCAAAUUUCAUGUCCGCCUGUUUAACAAAAACAUCUUUUCUCGUUAGUUUUUGAAGUAUGGCCUGCCCACUGACUUUGGUGUUGAAGGGCCGCGGUAUUUUGACCGUGCAAAGGUAGCAUAGUCAUUAGUUCUUUAAUUGUGAUCUGGUAUGAAUGGCUUGACGAGGCAUGGGCUGUCUUAAUUUUGAAUUGUUUAUUGAAUUUGGUCUUUGGGUUAAAAUUCUUAGAUGUUUUUAUGGGACGAGAAGACCCUAUAGAAUUUAACAUUUGUUAUGGUCCCCUUUCUGUUUGUGAGGGUUUAUUGGGUCGUUAAAUAUGUUUUGUUGGGGUGAUGGGAGGGAUUAAUUUAACCCCUCCUUUUUGUUAUUAUAUUUAUAUAUAUUUACUUGAUCCAUUUAUUUUGAUUGUAAGAUUAAAUUACCUUAGGGAUAACAGCGUAA
This 912-nucleotide ribosomal RNA is filed under the name Reticulitermes sp. Its description in RNAcentral is "partial large subunit ribosomal RNA". The stretch from base 481 to 643 matches the Rfam family "Archaeal large subunit ribosomal RNA", at positions 1883 to 2090 of the family's 2987-position model. Lineage: Eukaryota; Metazoa; Arthropoda; Insecta; Blattodea; Rhinotermitidae. The record is from RNAcentral.